Molecule: ribosomal RNA, 1406 nt
Filed under: Klebsiella variicola
Lineage: Bacteria; Pseudomonadati; Pseudomonadota; Gammaproteobacteria; Enterobacterales; Enterobacteriaceae
Description: bacterial SSU rRNA
Rfam family: Bacterial small subunit ribosomal RNA
Source: RNAcentral
UGCAAGUCGAGCGGUAGCACAGAGAGCUUGCUCUCGGGUGACGAGCGGCGGACGGGUGAGUAAUGUCUGGGAAACUGCCUGAUGGAGGGGGAUAACUACUGGAAACGGUAGCUAAUACCGCAUAACGUCGCAAGACCAAAGUGGGGGACCUUCGGGCCUCAUGCCAUCAGAUGUGCCCAGAUGGGAUUAGCUGGUAGGUGGGGUAACGGCUCACCUAGGCGACGAUCCCUAGCUGGUCUGAGAGGAUGACCAGCCACACUGGAACUGAGACACGGUCCAGACUCCUACGGGAGGCAGCAGUGGGGAAUAUUGCACAAUGGGCGCAAGCCUGAUGCAGCCAUGCCGCGUGUGUGAAGAAGGCCUUCGGGUUGUAAAGCACUUUCAGCGGGGAGGAAGGCGGUGAGGUUAAUAACCUCAUCGAUUGACGUUACCCGCAGAAGAAGCACCGGCUAACUCCGUGCCAGCAGCCGCGGUAAUACGGAGGGUGCAAGCGUUAAUCGGAAUUACUGGGCGUAAAGCGCACGCAGGCGGUCUGUCAAGUCGGAUGUGAAAUCCCCGGGCUCAACCUGGGAACUGCAUUCGAAACUGGCAGGCUAGAGUCUUGUAGAGGGGGGUAGAAUUCCAGGUGUAGCGGUGAAAUGCGUAGAGAUCUGGAGGAAUACCGGUGGCGAAGGCGGCCCCCUGGACAAAGACUGACGCUCAGGUGCGAAAGCGUGGGGAGCAAACAGGAUUAGAUACCCUGGUAGUCCACGCUGUAAACGAUGUCGAUUUGGAGGUUGUGCCCUUGAGGCGUGGCUUCCGGAGCUAACGCGUUAAAUCGACCGCCUGGGGAGUACGGCCGCAAGGUUAAAACUCAAAUGAAUUGACGGGGGCCCGCACAAGCGGUGGAGCAUGUGGUUUAAUUCGAUGCAACGCGAAGAACCUUACCUGGUCUUGACAUCCACAGAACUUUCCAGAGAUGGAUUGGUGCCUUCGGGAACUGUGAGACAGGUGCUGCAUGGCUGUCGUCAGCUCGUGUUGUGAAAUGUUGGGUUAAGUCCCGCAACGAGCGCAACCCUUAUCCUUUGUUGCCAGCGGUUAGGCCGGGAACUCAAAGGAGACUGCCAGUGAUAAACUGGAGGAAGGUGGGGAUGACGUCAAGUCAUCAUGGCCCUUACGACCAGGGCUACACACGUGCUACAAUGGCAUAUACAAAGAGAAGCGACCUCGCGAGAGCAAGCGGACCUCAUAAAGUAUGUCGUAGUCCGGAUUGGAGUCUGCAACUCGACUCCAUGAAGUCGGAAUCGCUAGUAAUCGUAGAUCAGAAUGCUACGGUGAAUACGUUCCCGGGCCUUGUACACACCGCCCGUCACACCAUGGGAGUGGGUUGCAAAAGAAGUAGGUAGCUUAACCUUCGGGAGGGCGCU